This 492-nucleotide ribosomal RNA is filed under the name uncultured bacterium. RNAcentral describes it as "partial 16S ribosomal RNA". It matches the Rfam family "Bacterial small subunit ribosomal RNA", at positions 29 to 507 of the family's 1533-position model. The record is from RNAcentral.
AGUGAACGCUGGCGGUAGGCCUAACACAUGCAAGUUGAACGGCAGCACAGUAAGAGCUUGCUCCUACGGGUGGCGAGUGGCGGACGGGUGAGGAAUACAUCGGAAUCUACUUUUUCGUGGGGGAUAACGUAGGGAAACUUACGCUAAUACCGCAUACGACCUACGGGUGAAAGCAGGGGAUCUUCGGACCUUGCGCGAUUGAAUGAGCCGAUGUCGGAUUAGCUAGUUGGCGGGGUAAAGGCCCACCAAGGCGACGAUCCGUAGCUGGUCUGAGAGGAUGAUCAGCCACACUGGAACUGAGACACGGUCCAGACUCCUACGGGAGGCAGCAGUGGGGAAUAUUGGACAAUGGGCGCAAGCCUGAUCCAGCCAUACCGCGUGGGUGAAGAAGGCCUUCGGGUUGUAAAGCCCUUUUGUUGGGAAAGAAAAGCAGCAGGUUAAUACCCCGCUGUUCUGACGGUACCCAAAGAAUAAGCACCGGCUAACUUCGUG